GCGCUCCCUCGCGCGACACGCCCCACAGGACUCCUCCCUCCUCCCCUCCUCCCGGGAGGCGGGGAGCCUGCCCGCCGCCCCCCACCCGGAGAGGACCGGCUAACUUCUCCGGCUUGAAAGGCCCAAGUCCCUGGGGACCGGGCCGGGAGGCUGGGACUUGAAACCCACGUCCGAGUCCUAGGCCUUCUGCGCGCCGCCCCCUGACCCGCUGCCCGCGGGCCAAAGCCGGACGGAGCCCUCUGGUCUCGAUACCUACCCCGGCAAUCCAUCCCCCCUACCCCACCCCUGCCGCUGCCGCCCCGCAGCCAAGAGGACGCUCCUCACCGCCCAGCUCCUGGGCUGGGAAUGGAAAACGCUGGCAUUAAUCUCAUUGUUUGCUGCAGGCAGAGUACGAGCUGGCCCUAGAGCCUCACCUGGCCUCCUCAGACCUGCUUUCCAUCAAACGGUGCUCACCUGUUUGGAAACGUGGCAGGCAUUCUCAGCCCACCCACACCCCCACACCCCCAAGCUGGUUCUGCUACAAGUCUAAUCAAACCCUAAACCGGAAGGUUCUGGACCCACCCCCCAGCCCCAACUGCCGCGUGGGCGGGGCGGGGGAGGGGCGCGCUGGCAGAUUCAGGGUUGACCUUGGAAAUCUUCUGGCCCAAACUCACUUUCUGGCCCCAAAUCUCCUUCUGCACAAAGGGAAACUGAGGCCCAGAGAAGGACAGUCACUUGGCAUGCGGCUGGGGGGUGCCCCCAGAUCCAGAGAUAACUCCCAGGUCACAUGGAAUAAAGGUAGCCAAGGACCCCCUAAGUCUCUUGACAGAAACUCAGACCUCUCUAGGACCCCGUCUCCACGUAGCCACCUGAAAACUGGAAAUGGCACCAUCAUCCCUGCUUUUAUGUGAAGAGACAAUGUGCAUUUUUAAGAAGACCCAGCAGGGAGCAGGCAUUUUUAUUCCAAAGAGAUACCACAGAUAAAAAGAGCUGAAGAGAGUCAGGGUCAGACAUAGUUUGACAUUUGUCAUUUUCUAACCAGUGAUGGGUAAAGUCUACAGAACGGCUGCUGUUGCUGCUGCUCUAACAAUAACGCAUUCAAAUGAGCAAGGAAACCAUUAAACCUGGACAGACAUUCCGAGCCCCUCGCUGAAUCCAGGCUGCACAGGCAGCGCAGGGGGUUGGCCUUUCCCAUGUCCCUCUCUGCUGACAUCUUCCCUCACCCAGACUGACUUUCCAGAAUUCAGACGGCCAGGCCGUUUUCUUAAUUCUCCGAGUACACAGCAUGCAUGCAGCUUGGUGGGUGGGGGUCGGGGGAGGACGCACAGGAACUGGUAGAAAUGAUAAAGAGGCCCUUGCCUGCACUUCCACUUCCACUGCCUCCAAGAGAACCUGUCCUUUCUGCCCUUGACUCUUCAGGGUCAAGGUAAGGAGGCAGCUACACAAUGUAUCAAGAGAAAUUUAUUUUCAUGUCAAAUCUCCAAUUUAAAUGCACUCACGUGGGACUUCCCUGGUGAUCCAGUGGUUAAGAAUCUGCCUGCCAGUGCAGGGGACAUGGGUUCAAUCCCUGGUCCUAGAAGAUCUCACAUGCCGUGGACCAACUAAGCCCGUGCACCACAACUAUUGAGCCUGUGCUCUAUAGCCCGGGAGCUGCAACUGUUGAAGCCCAUGUGUCCAGAGCCGUUGCUCUGCCAUAAGAGAAGCCACCAUAAUGAGAAGCCUGAGCACCGCAACUAGAGAGUAGCCCCGGCUUGCCUCAACUAGAGAACAGCCCACACGCAGUCAUGAAAACCCAGCACAGCCAAAGAUAAGUAAAUAAAUAAAUAAUUUACUUACA
This is a long non-coding RNA of Bos indicus x Bos taurus (hybrid cattle), 1816 nucleotides long. The record is from Ensembl. NCBI's taxonomy places the organism in Eukaryota, Metazoa, Chordata, Mammalia, Artiodactyla, Bovidae.